GACGAACCGUGCGAACGUUGUUCGGAAUCACUGGGCUUAAAGGGCGCGUAGGCGGGCCCGUCAGUCAGGGGUGAAAUCCCACGGCCCAACCGUGGAAGUGCCUCUGAUACUGCGGGCCUCGAGGGGGAUAGGGGCGUGCGGAACUCAGGGUGGAGCGGUGAAAUGCGUAGAUAUCCUGAGGAACACCGGUGGCGAAAGCGGCGCGCUGGAUCCCUUCUGACGCUGAGGCGCGAAAGCCAGGGGAGCAAACGGG
This 253-nucleotide ribosomal RNA is filed under the name uncultured bacterium. Its description in RNAcentral is "partial 16S ribosomal RNA". It matches the Rfam family "Bacterial small subunit ribosomal RNA", at positions 524 to 776 of the family's 1533-position model. The record is from RNAcentral.